GACUCUUCAGUUCACCUUCUCACAAUGAGGCUCCCUGCUCAGCUCCUGGGGUUGCUAAUGCUCUGGGUCUCUGGAUCCAGUGGGGAUAUUGUGAUGACUCAGUCUCCACUCUCCCUGCCCGUCACCCCUGGAGAGCCGGCCUCCAUCUCCUGCAGGUCUAGUCAGAGCCUCCUGCAUAGUAAUAGAUACAACUAUUUGAAUUGGUACCUGCAGAAGCCAGGCCAGUCUCCACAGCUCCUGAUCUAUUUGGGUUCUAAUCGGGCCUCCAGGGUCCCUGACAGGUUCAGUGGCAGUGGAUCAGGCACAGAUUUUACACUGAAAAUCAGCAGAGUGGAGGCUGAGGAUGUUGGGGUUUAUUACUGCAUGCAAACUCUACAAACUCCUCCCACAGUGGUACAACCCCUAACAGAAACCUCCCUCCUGGGGUUGCCCAGUUGCUCACAUGUGCUGCUUGUCUGGAGAGCAGCUCAGCAGGGUCUCUGAGUCUGCCGAAGAGGAGGCUGUUGGAGACCUCAGGGCAGAGGUUGCUGCUGAGGACUCUGGCUCAUGAUAGCCUCAGCUGUACUUUAGUCCCACAUGUUAAGGCCCCAUUAGGUGAAAAAUAAAUGAUUCCAAAAACUGAAAUGAAAUACCAAGGAGAAUCAGAGUACAAUUAAGGCUGUUACAAAGAAGCCUCAAAAUAUGGUGGACUAAAUGUGACAUGGUUUCUGUGUCUGUUGCCUGGCAGUGCAGAGGCAGGUGGGUGGCUUUGGUGGUGUCGGUGGCUCUUCUCCAUGAGGUCACUGAGAUGGGCAGGAGACACGACCACCCUCAGACACAGCCUUCCUCCUUCCUCAGAGUCACUUGCCCCGACACCCAUCCUCGGCAACAUGAAGUGGAACAAGUAGAGAGAAAGCUGUUUUCUUCUAAGACCAAAGAAAUCUAGAGUUUCCCAUCAGGGAUAAAUGUUCUUUUACUUUAAGCACACAUUGGAGAAAUUUUCCAUUGAGUGGAUCUGCUGAUAAACCCACUUUGUUUUGUUUGUUUGUUUUGUUGUGUUGUGUUUUGAGAUGGAGUCUCUCUCUGUCACCCAGGCUAGAGUGCAGUGACAUGAUCUCGGCUCACUGCAAACUGCCUCCUGGGUUCAAGAGAUUCUCAUGCCUCAGCCUUCCGAGCAGCUGGGAUUACAGGCACCCCCCACCAUUCCAGGCUAAUUUUUGUAUUUUUGGUAGAGACAGGGUUUCACCAUGUUGGCCAGGGUGGUGUCAAACUCCUGAUCUGAAGCGAUCUGCCUGCCUUAGCCUCCCAAAGUGCUGGGAUUACAGGCAUGAGCCACUGCACCUGGCAGUUGUUUGCUUUUAUACGAUAAUGUAAAAUUAUUUUGGAAAAUUAUUUUUUGAGUAUAUAGUUAUGUUUGUGGCAGCCUAUUUGAAUUUAUCAUUUGAUAAU
This is a non-coding RNA of Pongo pygmaeus (Bornean orangutan), 1428 nucleotides long. NCBI's taxonomy places the organism in Eukaryota, Metazoa, Chordata, Mammalia, Primates, Hominidae. The record is from the annotation of a RefSeq genome assembly.